GGUAAUUCCAGCUCCAAUAGUUUAUAUUAAAGUUGUUGUGGUUAAAAAGCUCGUAGUUGGAACCUGGCAUGCAGGGGGCGGUCCAUUAUUUGAUGUGACUGCCCCAUUUGCGUGUUUUUUUGGGCGGAAUUCCUUGGGUGCUCUUCACCGAGUGUCCUUGGAGGCCGCCAGGUUUACUUUGAAAAAAUUAGAGUGCUCCAAGCAGGCUCUACACGCCUGAAUAUUCGUGCAUGGAAUAAUGGAAUAGGACGUCGUUCCUAUUUUGUUGGUUUUAGGGAUUCGACGUAAUGAUUAAUAGGGACAGCCGGGGGCAUUAGUAUGCAGACGACAGAGGUGAAAUUCUUGGACCGUCUGCCGACUAACUACUGCGAAAGCAUUUGCCAAGAGUGUUUUCAUUAAUCAAGAACGAAAGUUAGAGGUUCGAAGGCGAUCAGAUACCGCCCUAGUUCUAACCAUAAACGAUGCCAGCUAGCGAUCUGCAGGCGUUUUUUUUGUAGGCCCUGCAGGAAGCUUCCGGGAAACCAAAGCGUUUGGGUUCCAGGGGAAGUAUGGUUGCAAAGCUGAAACUUAAAGGAAUUGACGGAAGGGCACCACCAGGCGUGGAGCUUGCGGCUUAAUUUGACUCAACACUGGAAAUCUCACCAGGCCCGGACACCGGCAGGAUUGACAGAUUGAGAGCUCUUUCUCGAUUCGGUGGGUGGUGGUGCAUG
This 710-nucleotide ribosomal RNA is filed under the name Eucyclops macrurus baikalocorrepus. RNAcentral describes it as "SSU rRNA". It matches the Rfam family "Eukaryotic small subunit ribosomal RNA", at positions 578 to 1286 of the family's 1831-position model. Lineage: Eukaryota; Metazoa; Arthropoda; Copepoda; Cyclopoida; Cyclopidae. The record is from RNAcentral. RNAcentral also lists the same sequence under 1 other name.